RNAcentral lists this ribosomal RNA (497 nucleotides) under uncultured bacterium. RNAcentral's name for it is "partial 16S ribosomal RNA". It matches the Rfam family "Bacterial small subunit ribosomal RNA", at positions 28 to 507 of the family's 1533-position model. The record is from RNAcentral.
GAUGAACGCUGGCGGCGUGCCUAAUACAUGCAAGUCGAGCGAACAGACGAGGAGCUUGCUCCUCUGACGUUAGCGGCGGACGGGUGAGUAACACGUGGAUAACCUACCUAUAAGACUGGGAUAACUUCGGGAAACCGGAGCUAAUCCCGGAUAAUAUAUUGAACCGCAUGGUUCAAUAGUGAAAGACGGUUUUGCUGUCACUUAUAGAUGGAUCCGCGCCGCAUUAGCUAGUUGGUAAGGUAAAGGCUUACCAAGGCAACGAUGCGUAGCCGACCUGAGAGGGUGAUCGGCCACACUGGAACUGAGACACGGUCCAGACUCCUACGGGAGGCAGCAGUAGGGAAUCUUCCGCAAUGGGCGAGAGCCUGACGGAGCAACGCCGCGUGAGUGAUGAAGGUCUUCGGAUCGUAAAACUCUGUUAUUAGGGAAGAACAAAUGUGUAAGUAACUAUGCACGUCUUGACGGUACCUAAUCAGAAAGCCACGGCUAACUACGUG